Molecule: ribosomal RNA, 269 nt
Filed under: Pneumocystis jirovecii
Lineage: Eukaryota; Fungi; Ascomycota; Pneumocystomycetes; Pneumocystales; Pneumocystaceae
Description: partial large subunit ribosomal RNA
Rfam family: Bacterial large subunit ribosomal RNA
Source: RNAcentral
GUCAAAUAGUAAUCGGACUAGGAUAUAGCUGGUUUUCUGCGAAAAUUGUUUUGGCAAAUUGUUUAUUCCUCUUAAAAAUAGUAGGUAUAGCACUGAAUAUCUCGAGGGAGUAUGAAAAUAUUUAUCUCAGAUAUUUAAUCUCAAAAUAACUAUUUCUUAAAAUAAAUAAUCAGACUAUGUCCGAUAAGGUAGAUAGUCGAAAGGGAAACAGCCCAGAACAGUAAUUAAAGCUCCCCAAUUAAUAUUAAGUGAAAUAAAAGUUGUUGCAU